Long non-coding RNA from Pan troglodytes (chimpanzee), 543 nucleotides. RefSeq lists it as uncharacterized. NCBI's taxonomy places the organism in Eukaryota, Metazoa, Chordata, Mammalia, Primates, Hominidae. The record is from RefSeq and is a predicted model, not a curated record. The transcript is spliced from 3 exons.
GAUGCUGGCAAUCUGGAUAUGCCAAAGAGAAGCCAUAAAAUGCUUCCUUUAAGUCAAAAUGUGAAAGUUUUGCACUGAUUAAGAAGAGAAAAAACAUCAUAUGCUGAGGAUGCUAAGUUCUAAGGCUGUAUGGGAAGCAUGGCUGGGGAGGCCUCAUGAAACUUAUAAUCAUGGUGCAAGGUGAAGAGGAAGGAGACAUGCUUUACAAGGCCACAGCAGGAGGAAGACAGUGAAGGGGGCGGUGCUACAUACUACAAACAACCAGAUCUUGCCUUGGGGAUUGAAUGGAACUUCACCACUGACUUUCCUGGGCCUCCAGCUUGUAGAUACCAGAUUGUGGAACUUCUCAGCCUUCAUAAUAGUGAGCCAGUUUCUCACAAUCAGUCUUUUUCUGUGUAUGUAUAUAUAUCCCAUUGUCCUGGUUUCUCUGGAGAAUUCCAAUCUAUACAAGUGUCACAGUCAUAUAGAAACAUAGCUUACUUUCUAAAUAUAUGUACCUUAAUAUUUAAAGAUAAAAUGUCAUGAUAAAUGUAAUUAAAACAU